This 465-nucleotide ribosomal RNA is filed under the name uncultured bacterium. RNAcentral describes it as "partial 16S ribosomal RNA". It matches the Rfam family "Bacterial small subunit ribosomal RNA", at positions 372 to 795 of the family's 1533-position model. The record is from RNAcentral.
CCUACUUUAUUCCUCCUUCUUUCCUCUUCCCCCCUUUUCUCCCUCCUGCUGGCGCCCCGCCGCGUGGGUGAAGAAGGUCUUCGGAUCGUAAAACCCUGUUGUUAGAGAAGAAAGUGCGUGAGAGUAACUGUUCACGUUUCGACGGUAUCUAACCAGAAAGCCACGGCUAACUACGUGCCAGCAGCCGCGGUAAUACGUAGGUGGCAAGCGUUAUCCGGAUUUAUUGGGCGUAAAGGGAACGCAGGCGGUCUUUUAAGUCUGAUGUGAAAGCCUUCGGCUUAACCGGAGUAGUGCAUUGGAAACUGGGAGACUUGAGUGCAGAAGAGGAGAGUGGAACUCCAUGUGUAGCGGUGAAAUGCGUAGAUAUAUGGAAGAACACCAGUGGCGAAAGCGGCUCUCUGGGCUGUAACUGACGCUGAGGUUCGAAAGCGUGGGUAGCAAACAGGAUUAGAUACCCCUGUAGUC